GUGCUCGCUUUGGCAGCACAUGUACUAAAAUUGGAACGUCACAGAGAUCAGCAUGGCCCCUGCGCAAGGAUGACACGCAAAUUCAUGAAGCGUUCCAUAAUUUU
Cervus hanglu yarkandensis (Yarkand deer) is the source of this 104-nucleotide small nuclear RNA. The record is from Ensembl. NCBI's taxonomy places the organism in Eukaryota, Metazoa, Chordata, Mammalia, Artiodactyla, Cervidae.